RNAcentral lists this ribosomal RNA (546 nucleotides) under uncultured bacterium. RNAcentral's name for it is "bacterial SSU rRNA". It matches the Rfam family "Bacterial small subunit ribosomal RNA", at positions 356 to 896 of the family's 1533-position model. The record is from RNAcentral.
GGGGAAUAUUGCGCAAUGGGGGCAACCCUGACGCAGCCAUGCCGCGUGAAUGAAGAAGGCCUUCGGGUUGUAAAGUUCUUUCGGUAGCGAGGAAGGCAUUUAGUUUAAUAAACUAGGUGAUUGACGUUAACUACAGAAGAAGCACCGGCUAACUCCGUGCCAGCAGCCGCGGUAAUACGGAGGGUGCGAGCGUUAAUCGGAAUAACUGGGCGUAAAGGGCACGCAGGCGGUGACUUAAGUGAGGUGUGAAAGCCCCGGGCUUAACCUGGGAAUUGCAUUUCAUACUGGGUCGCUAGAGUACUUUAGGGAGGGGUAGAAUUCCACGUGUAGCGGUGAAAUGCGUAGAGAUGUGGAGGAAUACCGAAGGCGAAGGCAGCCCCUUGGGAAUGUACUGACGCUCAUGUGCGAAAGCGUGGGGAGCAAACAGGAUUAGAUACCCUGGUAGUCCACGCUGUAAACGAUGUCGAUUUGGGGGUUGAGCUUUGAGCUUGGCGCCCGUAGCUAACGUGAUAAAUCGACCGCCUGGGGAGUACGGCCGCAAGGCUA